AUCCCUGUAGCGCAAUGGAUUGCGCGUUAAACUUCUAAUCAAAGGUCGUGGGUUCGAAUCCCAAGUGGGAUG
Molecule: non-coding RNA, 72 nt
Organism: Trichonephila clavata
Lineage: Eukaryota; Metazoa; Arthropoda; Arachnida; Araneae; Nephilidae
Source: the annotation of a GenBank genome assembly